GUAAAAGAGCAACAACAAAAGGUAAUAAAAUAUACAACUUGGAGAGCACAGUCUGACUUGCAAAUAUAGCUUGUUGCUGCAGCAUAGCAGCCCCUACUGAAUGGAAAGCCGGUAGUCACCUGUGCUAAAAUGAGGUGGUCAGAGAGCACCCUGGGAAGCCUGCUAUUCUUCAAAGGCUUUCACCUGCAGCAAAAUCUGACUCAUGGCAGAAACUCAUGCUUGCAAGAGUGAAACCAUCAGCAGUGGUGCUUUAGCCUCUCUUUUGCCUUGUGUAACAUGUUCAUCCUGAGAGGCCUCUGUGGAGAAGCCCUUUUCAGCGUGGAGCCAAUACCAUCAGCAUCUGCCUUUCCAAAAGUAAAACAUUAAAUGAUGCAUCUCUUGAAGUGCGACGUUCAUUUGGAUCCAUGGGUUACAGCCUCCCACAGUCAAUGGGAGUCUCUGCACUGAUCUUGGCAGGCUCUGGACAGGUGUAUGCAGAGAAGACUGGCUUUGUCUCCAGAGCACCGACCAAGCUGCACCCCUCUCCUGUUAUUGAGAGCUAAACUCACGCAGUCGUUAUCCUCAGGUUCUUGUUCCGCUCCAGGUAGGAAUCAGAUUUCAUAUGUACAUCCUUACAUCCCUAUGCAAUCCUUGCUUGGUAGUAAUGCUUU
Molecule: long non-coding RNA, 650 nt
Organism: Harpia harpyja (harpy eagle)
Lineage: Eukaryota; Metazoa; Chordata; Aves; Accipitriformes; Accipitridae
Exons: 3
Source: RefSeq, a predicted model, not a curated record